This is a long non-coding RNA of Ostrinia nubilalis (European corn borer), 3110 nucleotides long. RefSeq lists it as uncharacterized. The record is from RefSeq and is a predicted model, not a curated record. Lineage: Eukaryota; Metazoa; Arthropoda; Insecta; Lepidoptera; Crambidae. The transcript has 2 exons.
UAUUUAUGGUUUCGGAACUGAAUGUCAAUGUCAUCUGUCAUUCAUGUUUGAUUUUUUUACAAUAAAAAUGUGUUGUUAAUUUCUGAGAGUUUUCAAUAUUAAAACAUGGCGCAGCCGUUGUGAAACGAUCCUAAAGUGUGAUUGGAUGCGAAAAUAUUGUUUUCUACUGAAAGUGUCCUGUUAAAUAUCAUGGAGUCGUCGUCGGCGUCAGUGACAUUGCCUCCAAAUUUCGACAUUCGCUCUUCGCAAUCAGCUAAUGAUUGGAACUAUUGGAAAUGUUUGUUCGAGGACUAUCUGAUAGCAACUAAUCAAGAUGGAGCUUCAGACAAAAUUAAACUGUCAUUGUUGCGAAACAUGAUGGGUCCGGAGUCUACCAAAGUCAUCCUAACCUUUAAAUUAUCGGACGAGGAGAGACGAAGUUACGACAAAAUUGUGUCUGAAAUCGACAAAUAUGUGAAUCCCAAAAGUAAUCCGGUAUUUGAGCGAUUUAAAUUCAAUGAAAGAAAACAGGAAGUUGGAGAAUCAUUUGAAUCAUUUUAUACUAGCCUGAGGGAAUUAAUAGGCAAGUGUGGAUAUAAUGACAAAUGUUUAGAAUCUACAGAAGAUCAAUUAUUGCGAGAUAGGAUUGUACAAGGGAUCCAGGAUCACAGCCUACAGGAAAGUAUGUUAAGAUGUGAGGACUUGACGUUGGAUAAAGCUGCAAACAUGUGCCGAACAAGUGAAAUGAGCAAACUACAAGUAAAGGAAAUGAACCCCACCUUACUAGUGGAUACAAUAAAAUCCAGAAAAGUAAGGGACCAACAAGGUGUAAAAUAUAAGGAGUUUAGCUGCAGACGCUGCCAGACAAGACAUGGACCACGUGCAUGCCCUGCUUUUGGAAAAAAAUGUAACAAAUGUGGGCUGGAGAACCAUUUUGCAGCCAGUUGCAGAGUUAAGAAAAAGGUACAGGAAGUCAAAUGUGAGGAGUCUGAUUCGGAUGAAGGUGCGUAUUGUAGAGCUGUUCAGUCAAAAUGUGGUGAAAAGAAGGCCUGGUCUGAAAAUAUAGAAAUUGAGGGACAUAGUGUUCAAUGUAAGCUGGACUCGGGAGCAGAUAUAUGUUCCUGAGAUGGCCAGUCUGAUGUCACCUUUAUGCAAAUUAUUGAAAAAGGAUUGUGAAUUCAUAUGGUUACCUAAUCACAAGAAAGCUUUUGAAGAACUUAAGUUAAAAGUAAGUAGUGCCCCUGCUCUUUGUCCAUUUGAACCUAAUAAAAAAAUAAUUUUACAAUGUGAUGCUUCUAAAGAUGGCCUCGGAUGCUGCUUAUUCCAAAGUGAUAAAGAUGUAUUAAAACUAGUAGCAUGUGCCUCAAGAUCAAUGAACCAAUCAGAAGUUAACUAUAGUCAAACGGAGAAAGAGCUAUUAGCUAUUACAUUUGCUGUAAAAAAGUUUCAUAGAUACAUAUAUGGCCUAAAUGUAGAUGUACAAACAGAUCACAAACCAAUUGUUUCAAUUAUGUCUAAAUAUAUUUCCAAAAUUGGAUCCCCUAGAUUAAAGAGGUUGCGAUUAAAGUUGUUAAAUUACAAUUUAAAUGUUUAUUAUGUUCCAGGUAAAUUUAUACAUUUUGCAGAUAUGUUAUCUAGAAAUAAUUUAAGUGUUACUGAACAUGAUAAAGAAAUGUUGCAAAUUGUGCACUCUGUGUCCAUACACUUGCCCAUGUCGCCUGAAAGAAAAUUAUUGUUUAGAAAAGAAACUAAUAAUGAUGAAACACUUUCAUUACUAUGUAAAUAUUAUCAUGAGGGAUGGCCAGAGGAAAACAAAGUUCCUGCUGAUUGUCAACCAUACUAUAAAUUGAGGAAUAGCAUAUACUUUCAAUCAGGGUUUGCGUUUCUUGAGGACAAAAUCAUUGUACCUAAAAAUCUCAGAUCUGAUGUAGUAAAAUUAAUACAUGAAGGCCAUAUUGGUAUUGGAAAAUGCUUGAACAGGAGUAGGAAACUGUUUUAUUGGCCAAAAAUGUCCCAAGAAAUAUAUCAAUAUGUUAUGCAAUGUCACACAUGUGAAAAGUUUAGAUCUAGAAAUUGUCAUGAACCAUUGUUACCACACAAAAUACCUAAAUUAAGAUUUAGUAAAAUAGGUGCUGAUAUAUUGGAAUUUGCUAAGAAACCUUAUCUUGUUGUUGUCGACUAUUUUUCACACUGGCUUGAACUUAUUCCUUUGCCUGACAAGUCAGCAAAAUCUGUAAUAUCAGGAUUCAUUGAAAUUUUUUCUCGAUUUGGUUUUCCUGUUGAAAUUGUGUCUGACAAUAAUCCGUUUAACUCAAAAGAAUGUUUAGAUUAUUUUAAAAGUAAGGACAUAUGUUUAACUACAAGUAGUCCUCAUUAUCCUAGAAGCAAUGGUAUGGCUGAAAAAGCAGUAGACAGUAGCAAGAAUAUCUUAAAGAAAGCUGCAGAGGAUAGUGUGGACUAUAGAGAAUAUGUAAUGUCAUAUAACAAUGCACCUUUGGCUGGAAUGGUAGUAUCUCCAUCACAAAUAUUAAAUAGUCGAACCAUGAGAACACUUGUACCAAUUACUGAAAAAGCAUUGGAGCCUGUUGUUAUUAAAAAUAUACACAAAUUGUUAAUCUUGAAGCAGUCUAUAAAUAAAUCUAAAUUUGAUAGGUCAGUCAGAAAAAAAGAGGUUAAAUUUAAUAUUGGUGAUGAAGUGGUAUAUCGUACAGGAAAGGAUGAAUAUUGGAAAAAGGGUAAAAUUGUAAAGAAAUGUAAAGAGCCUAGGUCAUACUGGGUGGAAAGAGAUGGGAGCUUUCCAAUCCGUAGAACUACAAAUCAUUUAAAAAAAUCUUUUUCAAACACUAAGCAAUUUAAGACAAGUUAUUAUAAUGAUGAUUCCAGGGCUACAGAAGACAAUACUACACUGAAUUCUGAUCCAAUGAUUUCAUCCCCUGCUCGGGUAUCUCCACCAAGAGAUGUUGUCUAUGAUAAUAAUUAUUGUACUAGAAGUGGCAGGGUAGUAAAACCACCUAACCGAUUAGAUUUGUAAUUUCGGGGGGAAGGUGUUUUAUUUAUGGUUUCGGAACUGAAUGUCAAUGUCAUCUGUCAUUCAUGUUUGAUUUUUUUACAAUAAAAAUGUGUUGUUAAUU